Lotus japonicus is the source of this 93-nucleotide small nucleolar RNA. RefSeq annotates it as small nucleolar RNA snoR128. NCBI's taxonomy places the organism in Eukaryota, Viridiplantae, Streptophyta, Magnoliopsida, Fabales, Fabaceae. The record is from RefSeq and is a predicted model, not a curated record. The transcript has a single exon.
UUGCUAUGAUGACACCUCAGUUUAUUGAUGGUAUUUAGAGAAUGCUUGAUGAUACUUCGGCAGUCUUGUCGAACUGAGCGGUUAACUGAGCAA